Molecule: ribosomal RNA, 489 nt
Filed under: Triticum aestivum (bread wheat)
Lineage: Eukaryota; Viridiplantae; Streptophyta; Magnoliopsida; Poales; Poaceae
Description: partial small subunit ribosomal RNA
Source: RNAcentral
AUGGACUCCCCGCAAAAGAAGCUCGGAUCCACCAUGGACGGCGAGAUGCCACAUCUGCUGCCUGUGACGACGGUGAGUGAGACCGUGCCCAAGGACACGCUGGCCCCUCCUCCGGAGGCUGUCGUGAUUGUCAGCGCUUACGAGUUCUACCCCGCCUUCGUCGUCCUCCUCUACUACGCCCUGCACUACGCCAUGAUCUCCGCACGGUCCAUCUUCUUCCUGCUGACGCACGCGGAGGCGGUGGCCGCAGAGGUGAGCGCCCUGGACAUCGGGAUCGUGUGCUGCGCCGUGCUCCAGGCGGCCGCGGCGGUGCUGGCUGUGCAGCUCCCGUGCCACCGCGUCUGGGUCAGCUACGCCUUCGCCUACCUCGCCCUCGCGCUCACCAUCGUCGGCCAGUGCAUGUUCAUCGACCCAGGGGACGCCAUCUUCAUCAGCGCUGUGGGCGACCUCAUGUGCUUCCUGGCCCUCCUCCUGGUAGGUGACAAGUAA